AGUCGUAACAAGGUUUCCGUAGGUGAACCUGCGGAAGGAUCAUUAGUGUAAACAAAUCCAAAUGAAAAUGUCGAACCGUGUGUUUGUUUGUGGGGGCAGUGGGAGACGAUGAUGAUGAUGCUUGUGGGUGUGAGAUAGGCGCGUCGCCAUUGGUGCGCGCCCAGCCACCCCCUUGUAUUGUCUGCGUGCGCCGGCGCUCCACAGACACAAUACAACAACUACAACAACACCAUCGUGAUGUGCCAAUGGACAAUAUAGUAACAUUUUAUAAAAAGCAUAACUUUUAACAAUGGAUCUCUUGGCUCUU
RNAcentral lists this unclassified non-coding RNA (307 nucleotides) under fungal sp. RNAcentral describes it as "partial internal transcribed spacer region". The stretch from base 1 to 45 matches the Rfam family "Eukaryotic small subunit ribosomal RNA", at positions 1787 to 1831 of the family's 1831-position model. The record is from RNAcentral. Lineage: Eukaryota; Fungi.